UUGUAAGCUGUUAGCUUCAGCGCUCGGGAAUAUCCCCCUCCGAAACAGCUCUAUUAAACCCCUGUGGCAGUGCCCUUUAUCACACAUUAUUAGAGAGGCAUUUUGAAAGGUCUAAAGUCCUCCGCUAUUUAAGCGCAUGACCUUUCCAGUUCUACGAUCUCAUUUUCUCUCCAGUUAAUGUGCUACAAUGAAUUGCACCUGCCACUGAGCACUUGGUUGAUCAGAAAGUUGGUUAGACCUUGGACUCAUAGGCCAACUGCUCCCCCAGCCCCAAAUGCAGGCUGAAUAAUGCUGCAGUCCUUCUCGAGAAGCCAUCCGACGUCCUUCCUUCGCGUAUAAAGCCGAACAAAAUGCAAUGUCUUCAAGUUCCACGCUGACGUAGAAAUAGCCCAUGAUGGAGAAGAGGAUGCACACGGCAAAGAGGAGGCCCGCAAACAGGACAAACUCAGCCCACUGGAGAAGAAACACAAACGCAGCUCUGAGCACCCGUUCCCAAGGGAGGCAGGCACCUGCUUCCUUUCAGAGGGCUUUUUGCAUGCAAGGCCUUCAUUGCCAGGAGAGCUCACAGGAGGAAAGCCUCUUUAUUGAGGUUUCUGGGACCUCUCUUAUAUGAAAUUCGGUCAUUAUAAGCAUAUAGCUAAAGCUAAUUGGUGUGAGCUGAUGAGCUAAAGCACGGUUCAUCCUCCAGAUCCCUCCCAAACGGGCAAAUCUGCCUUAAACUUCUCCAGCAAGCAGGAAUGCACAACAUUAACCAUUUAGAGGACAGGCAAUGCUUAAAAAAUCCCCACUGUUAAAACUUAGUGUUACCUUUUCACUAGAAAUCAGAGCCUCUCCCAAUUCAGACCGUCUGGGUGAAACUAAUCUCCAAAUCUAAGCAUCCCAAUCCCAAACCUGGCAAUGGGAGCAAGUGGUCUUUCAGGAGUCCAGGGGCCUUUGCCUCACCGCAACCAUCGAUGAGUCCCAAAAGUACAAUACCUGAGAAUAAGAGAAUGCCAGGCCUGUAAUGGAGAACAUCACUUCUCCAGCUGAUAUCAACAGGUACUGCGGCAGC
Long non-coding RNA from Alligator mississippiensis (American alligator), 1051 nucleotides. RefSeq lists it as uncharacterized. The record is from RefSeq and is a predicted model, not a curated record. NCBI's taxonomy places the organism in Eukaryota, Metazoa, Chordata, Crocodylia, Alligatoridae. The transcript has 3 exons.